This 403-nucleotide ribosomal RNA is filed under the name uncultured bacterium. RNAcentral describes it as "partial 16S ribosomal RNA". It matches the Rfam family "Bacterial small subunit ribosomal RNA", at positions 28 to 526 of the family's 1533-position model. The record is from RNAcentral.
GACGAACGCUGGCGGCGUGCCUAAUACAUGCAAGUCGAACGCAGUGGGGACGGGUGAGUAACAAGUGGGUAACCUCCCAUCAGAGGGGCUAAAACUUGGAAAAAGGUGCUAAACCGAUACUGAUGGAUGGACUCGCGGUGCAUUAGCUAGUUGGUGAGGUCACGGCGCACCAAGGCCACGAUGCAUAGCCGACCUGAGAGGGUGAUCGGCCACACUGGAACUGAGACACGGCCCAGACUCCGACGGGAGGCAGCAGUAGGGAAGCUUCGGCAAUGGACGAAAGUCUGACCGAGCAACGCCGCGUGAGUGAAGAAGGUUUUCGGAUCGUAAAACUCUGUUGUUAGGGAGGCGGUAUCUAACCAGAAAGCCACGGCUAACUACGUGCCAGCAGCCGCGGUAAUUC